GAUGAAGAACGCAGCGAAAUGCGAUAAGUAGUGUGAAUUGCAGAAUUCAGUGAAUCAUCGAAUCUUUGAACGCACAUUGCGCCCCUUGGUAUUCCAUGGGGCAUGCCUGUUCGAGCGUCAUUUGUACCUUCAAGCUUUGCUUGGUGUUGGGUGUUUGUCUCGCCUUUGCGUGUAGACUCGCCUUAAAAUAAUUGGCAGCCGGCGUAUUGAUUUCGGAGCGCAGUACAUCUCGCGCUUUGCACUCAUAACGACAGCGUCCAAAAGUACAUUUUACACUCUUGACCUCGGAUCAGGUAGGGAUACCCGCUGAACUUAAGCAUAUCAAUAAGCAGAGGA
RNAcentral lists this unclassified non-coding RNA (336 nucleotides) under soil metagenome. RNAcentral describes it as "partial contains 5.8S ribosomal RNA, internal transcribed spacer 2, and large subunit ribosomal RNA". The stretch from base 1 to 120 matches the Rfam family "5.8S ribosomal RNA", at positions 35 to 154 of the family's 154-position model. The record is from RNAcentral.